CCUACGGGUGGCUGCAGUGGGGAAUAUUGCGCAAUGGGCGAAAGCCUGACGCAGCGACGCCGCGUGAGGGAUGAAGGUCUUCGGAUCGUAAACCCCUGUCAGCAGGGAAGAACGGUCACUGUGCUAACUAGCAGUGAAUUGACGGUACCUGCAAAGGAAGCACCGGCUAACUCCGUGCCAGCAGCCGCGGUAAUACGGAGGGGGCGAGCGUUAACCGGAAUUACUGGGCGUAAAGCGCUCGUAGGCGGUAUUUCAAGUCAAGGGUGAAAUCCCCGCGCUCAACGUGGGAACUGCCUUUGAAACUGGCAGACUGGAGUGUGUGAGAGGAUAGUGGAAUUCCAGGUGUAGGAGUGAAAUCCGUAGAUAUCUGUAGGAACAUCAGUGGCGAAGGCGACUAUCUGGCACAUAACUGACGCUGAGGAGCGAAAGCGUGGGUAGCAAACAGGAUUAGAUACCCGAGUAGUC
This 465-nucleotide ribosomal RNA is filed under the name uncultured bacterium. Its description in RNAcentral is "partial 16S ribosomal RNA". It matches the Rfam family "Bacterial small subunit ribosomal RNA", at positions 338 to 795 of the family's 1533-position model. The record is from RNAcentral.